This 1364-nucleotide ribosomal RNA is filed under the name uncultured bacterium. RNAcentral's name for it is "bacterial SSU rRNA". It matches the Rfam family "Bacterial small subunit ribosomal RNA". The record is from RNAcentral.
AGAGUUUGAUUCUGGCUCAGGACGAACGCUGGCGGCGUGCUUCACACAUGCAAGUCGAACGGGAUCACUUGUGGUCUAGUGGCGAACGGGUGAGUAUCACGUGAGUAACCUGUCCCGGAGUUUGGGAUAACAGUGGGAAACUGCUGCUAAUACCGGAUGUUCCUGCUGUCUCGCAUGGGGUGGUGGGGAAAUGCUUUUGUGCUUCGGGAGGGGCUCGCGGCCUAUCAGCUUGUUGGUGGGGUGAUGGCCUACCAAGGCUUCGACGGGUAGCUGGUCUGAGAGGACGAUCAGCCACACUGGGACUGAGACACGGCCCAGACUCCUACGGGAGGCAGCAGUGGGGAAUCUUGCGCAAUGGGCGGAAGCCUGACGCAGCAACGCCGCGUGAGGGAUGACGGCUUUCGGGUUGUAAACCUCUUUCGUGCGGGGACGAUUGUGACGGUACCUGUAGAAGAAGCUCCGGCCAACUACGUGCCAGCAGCCGCGGUAAUACGUAGGGAGCGAGCGUUGUCCGGAUUUAUUGGGCGUAAAGAGCUCGUAGGCGGCUUGGUAAGUCGGAUGUGAAACCUUCAUGCUUAACGUGGAGACGCCAUCCGAUACUGCUAUGGCUUGAGUCCGGUAGGGGCCCACGGAAUUCCUGGUGUAGCGGUGAAAUGCGCAGAUAUCAGGAGGAACACCGGUGGCGAAGGCGGUGGGCUGGGCCGGUACUGACGCUGAGGAGCGAAAGCGUGGGGAGCGAACAGGAUUAGAUACCCUGGUAGUCCACGCUGUAAACGUUGGGCACUAGGUGUGGGGUCUUUCAACGGGUUCCGUGCCGUAGCUAACGCAUUAAGUGCCCCGCCUGGGGAGUACGGCCGCAAGGCUAAAACUCAARGGAAUUGACGGGGGCCCGCACAAGCGGCGGAGCAUGUGGCUUAWUUCGAUGCAACGCGAAGAACCUUACCUGGGUUGAACUACGCGGGUUUAGCUGCAGAGAUGUGGUGUCCUUCGGGGCCUGCGAUAGGUGGUGCAUGGCUGUCGUCAGCUCGUGUCGUGAGAUGUUGGGUUAAGUCCCGCAACGAGCGCAACCCUUGUCCUAUGUUGCCAGCGGGUUAUGCCGGGGACUCGUAGGAGACUGCCGGGGUCAACUCGGAGGAAGGUGGGGAUGACGUCAAGUCAUCAUGCCCCUUAUGUCCAGGGCUGCACACAUGCUACAAUGGCCGGUACAGAGGGCUGCUAUCUCGUGAGGGUGAGCGAAUCCCUAAAAGCCGGUCUCAGUUCGGAUCGCAGUCUGCAACUCGACUGCGUGAAGUCGGAGUCGCUAGUAAUCCCGGAUCAGCAAUGCCGGGGUGAAUACGUUCCCGGGCCUUGUACACACCGCCCGU